GACUUUGCUGGAGUUCAGGAAUCA
This 24-nucleotide non-coding RNA is filed under the name Arabidopsis thaliana (thale cress). The record is from RNAcentral. Lineage: Eukaryota; Viridiplantae; Streptophyta; Magnoliopsida; Brassicales; Brassicaceae.